GAUGAACGCUGGCGGCGUGCCUAAUACAUGCAAGUCGAGCGAACAGACGAGGAGCUUGCUCCUCUGACGUUAGCGGCGGACGGGUGAGUAACACGUGGAUAACCUACCUAUAAGACUGGGAUAACUUCGGGAAACCGGAGCUAAUACCGGAUAAUAUAUUGAACCGCAUGGUUCAAUAGUGAAAGACGGUUUUGCUGUCACUUAUAGAUGGAUCCGCGCCGCUUUAGCUAGUUGGUAAGGUAAGGGCUUACCAAGGCAACGAUGCGUAGCCGACCUGAGAGGGUGAUCGGCCACACUGGAACUGAGACACGGUCCAGACUCCUACGGGAGGCAGCAGUAGGGAAUCUUCCGCAAUGGGCGAAAGCCUGACGGAGCAACGCCGCGUGAGUGAUGAAGGUCUUCGGAUCGUAAAACUCUGUUAUUAGGGAAGAACAAAUGUGUAAGUAACUAUGCACGUCUUGACGGUACCUAAUCAGAAAGCCACGGCUAACUACGUG
RNAcentral lists this ribosomal RNA (497 nucleotides) under uncultured bacterium. RNAcentral's name for it is "partial 16S ribosomal RNA". It matches the Rfam family "Bacterial small subunit ribosomal RNA", at positions 28 to 507 of the family's 1533-position model. The record is from RNAcentral.